CAACUUUCAGCAACGGAUCUCUUGGCUCUCGCAUCGAUGAAGAACGCAGCGAAAUGCGAUAAGUAAUGUGAAUUGCAGAAUUCAGUGAAUCAUCGAAUCUUUGAACGCACCUUGCGCUCCUUGGUAUUCCGAGGAGCAUGCGCUGUGUUGAGUGUCAUG
Molecule: ribosomal RNA, 159 nt
Filed under: Trametes orientalis
Lineage: Eukaryota; Fungi; Basidiomycota; Agaricomycetes; Polyporales; Polyporaceae
Description: 5.8S ribosomal RNA
Rfam family: 5.8S ribosomal RNA
About the family: 5.8S ribosomal RNA (5.8S rRNA) is a component of the large subunit of the eukaryotic ribosome.
Source: RNAcentral